UCGGGAAUUUUGGGCAAUGGGCGAAAGCCUGACCCAGCAACGCCGCGUGAAGGAUGAAGUAUUUCGGUAUGUAAACUUCGAAAGAAUAGGAAGAAUAAAUGACGGUACUAUUUAUAAGGUCCGGCUAACUACGUGCCAGCAGCCGCGGUAAUACGUAGGGACCAAGCGUUGUUCGGAUUUACUGGGCGUAAAGGGCGCGUAGGCGGCAAUUCAAGUCAUCUGUGAAAUCUCCGGGCUUAACUCGGAACGGUCAGAUGAUACUGCUUUGCUAGAGUGCAGAAGGGGCAAUCGGAAUUCUUGGUGUAGCGGUGAAAUGCGUAGAUAUCAAGAGGAACACCUGAGGUGAAGACGGGUUGCUGGGCUGACACUGACGCUGAGGCGCGAAAGCCAGGGGAGCAAACGGGGAUUAGAUACCCGGUAGUCCCUGAGCGGGCUGGCAAGGCGCAU
This 447-nucleotide ribosomal RNA is filed under the name uncultured bacterium. Its description in RNAcentral is "bacterial SSU rRNA". It matches the Rfam family "Bacterial small subunit ribosomal RNA", at positions 355 to 825 of the family's 1533-position model. The record is from RNAcentral.